RNAcentral lists this ribosomal RNA (301 nucleotides) under uncultured bacterium. Its description in RNAcentral is "partial 16S ribosomal RNA". It matches the Rfam family "Bacterial small subunit ribosomal RNA", at positions 509 to 808 of the family's 1533-position model. The record is from RNAcentral.
CAGUCGCCGCGGGAAUACGUAGGGGGCAAGCGUUAUCCGGAAUAACUGGGCGUAAAGGGUGCGCAGGUGGUUUAAUAAGUUAGUGGUGAAAGGCAUAGGCUCAACCAAUGUAAGCCAUUAAAACUGUUUAACUUGAGUGCAGGAGAGGAAAGUGGAAUUCCUAGUGUAGCGGUGAAAUGCGUAGAUAUUAGGAGGAAUACCAGUGGCGAAGGCGACUUUCUGGACUGCAACUGACACUGAGGCACGAAAGCGUGGGGAGCAAACAGGAUUAGAUACCCCGGUAGUCCCUGUCUCUUAUACC